Molecule: ribosomal RNA, 1001 nt
Filed under: Vibrio campbellii
Lineage: Bacteria; Pseudomonadati; Pseudomonadota; Gammaproteobacteria; Vibrionales; Vibrionaceae
Description: bacterial SSU rRNA
Rfam family: Bacterial small subunit ribosomal RNA
Source: RNAcentral
GGGGGUUGGCGGCAGCCUACACAUGCAGUCGAGCGGAACGAGUUAUCUGAACCUUCGGGGAACGAUAACGGCGUCGAGCGGCGGACGGGUGAGUAAUGCCUAGGAAAUUGCCCUGAUGUGGGGGAUAACCAUUGGAAACGAUGGCUAAUACCGCAUAAUGCCUACGGGCCAAAGAGGGGGACCUUCGGGCCUCUCGCGUCAGGAUAUGCCUAGGUGGGAUUAGCUAGUUGGUGAGGUAAUGGCUCACCAAGGCGACGAUCCCUAGCUGGUCUGAGAGGAUGAUCAGCCACACUGGAACUGAGACACGGUCCAGACUCCUACGGGAGGCAGCAGUGGGGAAUAUUGCACAAUGGGCGCAAGCCUGAUGCAGCCAUGCCGCGUGUGUGAAGAAGGCCUUCGGGUUGUAAAGCACUUUCAGUCGUGAGGAAGGUAGUGUAGUUAAUAGCUGCAUUAUUUGACGUUAGCGACAGAAGAAGCACCGGCUAACUCCGUGCCAGCAGCCGCGGUAAUACGGAGGGUGCGAGCGUUAAUCGGAAUUACUGGGCGUAAAGCGCAUGCAGGUGGUUUGUUAAGUCAGAUGUGAAAGCCCGGGGCUCAACCUCGGAAUAGCAUUUGAAACUGGCAGACUAGAGUACUGUAGAGGGGGGUAGAAUUUCAGGUGUAGCGGUGAAAUGCGUAGAGAUCUGAAGGAAUACCGGUGGCGAAGGCGGCCCCCUGGACAGAUACUGACACUCAGAUGCGAAAGCGUGGGGAGCAAACAGGAUUAGAUACCCUGGUAGUCCACGCCGUAAACGAUGUCUACUUGGAGGUUGUGGCCUUGAGCCGUGGCUUUCGGAGCUAACGCGUUAAGUAGACCGCCUGGGGAGUACGGUCGCAAGAUUAAAACUCAAAUGAAUUGACGGGGGCCCGCACAAGCGGUGGAGCAUGUGGUUUAAUUCGAUGCAACGCGAAGAACCUUACCUACUCUUGACAUCCAGAGAACUUUCCAGAGAUGGAUUGGU